GUGAUGAGACACUGGUAUAACAUGGAAGUGAGAUGUAGGGGUACAUCGUCACUGAACAUGACCAACUACAGAGCACUCUACUGUCAAGGGUAGCUCACGAAGGGUAUGGGUAUAAGUGUCCCUCCGACCUGAGAUCAUCACGGUGAUUUGAAAGUAAUUCACUGUAUUUUGAUGUCAGACUAACUGAGUUUCUAAUUCAGUGACGAAAGAUUUUUGGAUGCAGUCAAAUACUUAUUAAGUUAGUGCGUGAGUCAAGAUGGGAUUGACCUCUUCGAAUUAGUAGGAGAUAUGCAUCAGUGUAUUUCAAUUUAGCAAAAUUUGGGCUCGGAUAAUCCAUGUGAUGGAUUUGAAAAAGAUUGAAAUACAAUAUAGAUGACUUAUCUAGAAUUGACAGUUAAAUCCUAGAUCAUGCUCGAGCAUUAGGGUCAAAGGGAUG
This 436-nucleotide long non-coding RNA is filed under the name Elaeis guineensis (African oil palm). RNAcentral describes it as "long non-coding RNA (EGUI_LNC059800)". The record is from RNAcentral. Lineage: Eukaryota; Viridiplantae; Streptophyta; Magnoliopsida; Arecales; Arecaceae.